RNAcentral lists this ribosomal RNA (661 nucleotides) under Salmonella enterica subsp. enterica serovar Kottbus. Its description in RNAcentral is "partial 23S ribosomal RNA". It matches the Rfam family "Bacterial large subunit ribosomal RNA", at positions 528 to 1190 of the family's 2925-position model. Lineage: Bacteria; Pseudomonadati; Pseudomonadota; Gammaproteobacteria; Enterobacterales; Enterobacteriaceae. The record is from RNAcentral.
GGCGAGGGGAGUGAAAAAGAACCUGAAACCGUGUACGUACAAGCAGUGGGAGCACCCUUUGGGGUGUGACUGCGUACCUUUUGUAUAAUGGGUCAGCGACUUAUAUUCUGUAGCAAGGUUAACCGUAUAGGGGAGCCGUAGGGAAACCGAGUCUUAACCGGGCGUUAAGUUGCAGGGUAUAGACCCGAAACCCGGUGAUCUAGCCAUGGGCAGGUUGAAGGUUGGGUAACACUAACUGGAGGACCGAACCGACUAAUGUUGAAAAAUUAGCGGAUGACCUGUGGCUGGGGGUGAAAGGCCAAUCAAACCGGGAGAUAGCUGGUUCUCCCCGAAAGCUAUUUAGGUAGCGCCUCGUGAAUUCAUCUCCGGGGGUAGAGCACUGUUUCGGCUAGGGGGCCAUCCCGGCUUACCAACCCGAUGCAAACUGCGAAUACCGGAGAAUGUUAUCACGGGAGACACACGGCGGGUGCUAACGUCCGUCGUGAAGAGGGAAACAACCCAGACCGCCAGCUAAGGUCCCAAAGUCAUGGUUAAGUGGGAAACGAUGUGGGAAGGCCCAGACAGCCAGGAUGUUGGCUUAGAAGCAGCCAUCAUUUAAAGAAAGCGUAAUAGCUCACUGGUCGAGUCGGCCUGCGCGGAAGAUGUAACGGGGCUAAACCAU